CAGUGAGUAGUUCAGUAGGUAGAACGCUUGUUUUGGGAACAAGAAGUCAAAGGUUCAAUUCCUUUCUCACUGA
This 73-nucleotide transfer RNA is filed under the name Caudoviricetes sp. RNAcentral describes it as "tRNA-Pro". It matches the Rfam family "tRNA". Rfam says of the family: Transfer RNA (tRNA) molecules are approximately 80 nucleotides in length. Lineage: Duplodnaviria; Heunggongvirae; Uroviricota; Caudoviricetes. The record is from RNAcentral.